RNAcentral lists this ribosomal RNA (756 nucleotides) under uncultured bacterium. Its description in RNAcentral is "bacterial SSU rRNA". It matches the Rfam family "Bacterial small subunit ribosomal RNA", at positions 8 to 796 of the family's 1533-position model. The record is from RNAcentral.
AGAGUUUGAUCCUGGCUCAGAAUCAACGCUGGCGGCGCGCUUAACACAUGCAAGUCGAACGAGAAAGUGGAGCAAUCCAUGAGUACAGUGGCGUACGGGUGAGUAACACGUGGGUAAUCUACCUCUUAGUGGGGAAUAACUUUGGGAAACCGAAGCUAAUACCGCAUAAGCUCGAGAGAGGAAAGCAGCAAUGCGCUGAGAGAGGAGCCCGCGGCCGAUUAGCUAGUUGGCAGGGUAAAAGCCUACCAAGGCAGAGAUCGGUAGCCGGCCUGAGAGGGCACACGGCCACACUGGCACUGAAACACGGGCCAGACUCCUACGGGAGGCAGCAGUGGGGAAUCUUGCACAAUGGGGGCAACCCUGAUGCAGCGACGCCGCGUGAGCGAUGAAGCCCUUCGGGGUGUAAAGCUCUUUCGUCAGGGAAGAUAGUGACGGUACCUGGAGAAGCAGCUGCGGCUAACUACGUGCCAGCAGCCGCGGUAAUACGUAGGCAGCGAGCGUUGUUCGGAGUUACUGGGCGUAAAGGGUGUGUAGGCGGUUGUUUAAGUUUGGUGUGAAAUCUCCCGGCUCAACUGGGAGGGUGCGCCGAAUACUGAGCGACUAGAGUGCGGGAGAGGAAAGUGGAAUUCCUGGUGUAGCGGUGAAAUGCGUAGAUAUCAGGAGGAACACCGGUGGUGUAGACGGCUUUCUGGACCGUAACUGACGCUGAGACACGAAAGCGUGGGUAGCAAACAGGAUUAGAUACCCUGGUAGUCC